Molecule: ribosomal RNA, 121 nt
Filed under: Streptomyces plicatus
Lineage: Bacteria; Bacillati; Actinomycetota; Actinomycetes; Kitasatosporales; Streptomycetaceae
Also listed under: 3 other names
Description: partial 16S rRNA
Rfam family: Bacterial small subunit ribosomal RNA
Source: RNAcentral
UCUAAUACCGGAUACUGAUCCUCGCAGGCAUCUGCGAGGUUCGAAAGCUCCGGCGGUGCAGGAUGAGCCCGCGGCCUAUCAGCUAGUUGGUGAGGUAACGGCUCACCAAGGCGACGACGGG